AGUCUAGCCGCCCGCCUAGGACGAUUUUUCAAACAUUGCGAUUGACUGAAAGUUUGAAACCCGAAUUUGAAAAAAUUUAGCUGCAAAUUUGAGCUUGAGAUUGGGAAGCUGAAGCAGUGAAGCACAAGUCAGGUCCAUAGAAGAGCAAAUAUGUUGGUGCAUGCAUUCUAUGUUGUUAUCUUGAACUUUCUAUCUUUCACAUUCUCAUCUCUUAACUAUUAAGAUUUGGUGAACAACUUGGACAGAUUUGUCUGAAGGCAGAUGAAAGAGAUGUAUACGAGUUCUUCUCAAGGGCUGGCAAGGUCCGCGAUGUACGCCUCAUUAUGGAUCGCAAUUCAAGACGUUCUAAGGGAGUUGGGUAUAUUGAGUUUUAUGAUGCAAUGUACGUACCUAUGGCGAUUGCACUUUCUGGUCAGCCUCUUCUUGGUCAACCAGUGAUGGUGAAGCCAUCAGAGGCUGAGAAGAAUCUGGUUCAAUCAACAUAUGUGGUUAGCAGACCAGGUGGGAUGAUAGGCCCAUAUUCUGGCGGAGCUAGAAGGCUGUAUGUUGGAAAUCUCCAUACCAAUAUAAAAGAAGACGAUCUCCGCCGGGUGAGUACUUUUCUGACACAGUUCUAAUGUUGGCAUCAGAUAAUGUACAUAAUCAAGCUUGCUGUUGGUUAUGUAAUUUUUUUUUUUUGUUGCUUUUGAGCACUUCUGUUCACAGUUUCCUAAUUUCUAAUUGUGAAUAUUUUUUCCAUUUUGACUUUCACCCUUUAAUAUGUGAUAUAUAUGAGAGUGCCAACAUAAAAAACCUUGAUAUCCCCUGCUAUUUGCUUCCCCGCAACAUUUGACACUAAGCUGCUGCUUUCUUACAGAGCUUUCCAGGAGCUUUCUCGCUAUCUCUCUGUUUUUCUUAUUUUGGUAUCAGAGCCUUAAGAGUUACGGUCUUUGUCUAAGUCUGCUACUCAUUCCCGCCCAAGUGGCUGGUUUAAGCAUCUGAGUAGAAGGUUUUCAUCUUCUUCCUUUCCUUCCUUUUUAUUCUUUGAGUUAUCUGUUAAUUUCACUCUAAGGUCUGACCCGUGAGUCCUUUUUGCUAGAUCUGUAAGUCCCGAGGGUAGGGCGUUUGUGCUGGGCAGGAGACAGAAAAUUGAGUGGAGUUAGUAGGUUUCUUAGAG
This is a long non-coding RNA of Prunus persica (peach), 1156 nucleotides long. RefSeq lists it as uncharacterized. Lineage: Eukaryota; Viridiplantae; Streptophyta; Magnoliopsida; Rosales; Rosaceae. The record is from RefSeq and is a predicted model, not a curated record. The transcript is spliced from 3 exons.